UACAGAGGUCCCAAGCGUUGUUCGGAUUCACUGGGCGUAAAGGGCGCGUAGGUGGCGACCCAAGUCGAUGGUGAAAGCUCGCCGCUCAACGGCGAGUCGGCCACCGAUACUGGGUUGCUCGAGCACUGUAGAGGCUAAUGGAAUUCCGGGUGUAGCGGUGGAAUGCGUAGAGAUCCGGAAGAACACCGGUGGCGAAGGCGGUUAGCUGGGCAGUUGCUGACACUGAGGCGCGACAGCGUGGGGAGCAAACAGG
This 253-nucleotide ribosomal RNA is filed under the name uncultured bacterium. RNAcentral's name for it is "partial 16S ribosomal RNA". It matches the Rfam family "Bacterial small subunit ribosomal RNA", at positions 524 to 776 of the family's 1533-position model. The record is from RNAcentral.